RNAcentral lists this ribosomal RNA (120 nucleotides) under Bison bison bison. The record is from RNAcentral. Lineage: Eukaryota; Metazoa; Chordata; Mammalia; Artiodactyla; Bovidae.
UCUCAGGCCGGAUCAGCCUGAAGGCGCCCGAUCUCGUCUGAUCUCGGAAGUCUAAGCAGGGUCGGGCCUGGUUAGUAUCUUGGAUGGGAGACCACCUGGGAAUCCCGGGUGCUACGAGGC